Molecule: ribosomal RNA, 498 nt
Filed under: uncultured bacterium
Lineage: Bacteria
Description: bacterial SSU rRNA
Rfam family: Bacterial small subunit ribosomal RNA
Source: RNAcentral
AUGAACGCUAGCGACAGGCUUAACACAUGCAAGUCGAGGGGUAACAGGGUAGCAAUACCGCUGACGACCGGCGCACGGGUGAGUAACGCGUAUGCAACCUGCCUAUAACUGGGGAAUAGCUCCCUGAAAGGGGGAAUUAACACCGCAUAAUACUAUUGAUUCGCAUGGAUUAGUAGUUAAAUGUAGCGAUACAGGUUAUAGAUGGGCAUGCGUGACAUUAGCUAGUUGGUGAGGUAACGGCUCACCAAGGCUACGAUGUCUAGGGGUUCUGAGAGGAAGGUCCCCCACGCUGGUACUGAGACACGGACCAGACUCCUACGGGAGGCAGCAGUGAGGAAUAUUGGUCAAUGGGCGCAAGCCUGAACCAGCCAUGUCGCGUGCAGGAAGACUGCCCCUAUGGGUUGUAAACUGCUUUUAUAGUAGAAGAAACACAUCUACGUGUAGAUGUCUGCUAGUAUACUAUGAGUAAGCAUCGGCUAACUCCGUGCCAGCAGCAGC